UCCGAUAUGGUCUAGUGGCUAGGAUACCUGGCAUUCACCCAGGAGGCUCGGGUUCGAUUCCCGGUAUCGGAA
Molecule: transfer RNA, 72 nt
Filed under: Sitophilus oryzae (rice weevil)
Lineage: Eukaryota; Metazoa; Arthropoda; Insecta; Coleoptera; Curculionidae
Description: tRNA-Glu
Rfam family: tRNA
About the family: Transfer RNA (tRNA) molecules are approximately 80 nucleotides in length. Their secondary structure includes four short double-helical elements and three loops (D, anti-codon, and T loops).
Source: Rfam by way of RNAcentral